ACGAACGCUGGCGGCGUGCUUAACACAUGCAAGUCGAACGGUGAAGAGGAGCUUGCUCCUUGGAUCAGUGGCGAACGGGUGAGUAACACGUGAGCAAUCUGCCCUUGACUCUGGGAUAACUGCGGGAAACUGUAGCUAAUACCGGAUACGACCUUGGAAGGCAUCUUCUGGGGUGGAAAGAAUUUUGGUCAAGGAUGAGCUCGCGGCCUAUCAGCUGGUUGGUGAGGUAAUGGCUCACCAAGGCGACGACGGGUAGCCGGCCUGAGAGGGUGACCGGCCACACUGGGACUGAGACACGGCCCAGACUCCUACGGGAGGCAGCAGUGGGGAAUAUUGCACAAUGGGCGAAAGCCUGAUGCAGCAACGCUGCGUGAGGGACGAAGGCCUUCGGGUUGUAAACCUCUUUUAGUAGGGAAGAAGCGGACUGGGUUUUCCUGGAAGUGGACGGUACCUGCAGAAAAAGCACCGGCUAACUACGUGCCAGCAGCCGCGGUAAUACGUAGGGUGCAAGCGUUGUCCGGAAUUAUUGGGCGUAAAGAGCUCGUAGGCGGUUUGUCGCGUCUGCUGUGAAAACCCGAGGCUCAACCUCGGGCCUGCAGUGGGUACGGGCAGACUAGAGUGCGGUAGGGGAGAUUGGAAUUCCUGGUGUAGCGGUGGAAUGCGCAGAUAUCAGGAGGAACACCAAUGGCGAAGGCAGAUCUCUGGGCCGUAACUGACGCUGAGGAGCGAAAGCAUGGGGAGCGAACAGGAUUAGAUACCCUGGUAGUCCAUGCCGUAAACGUUGGGAACUAGAUGUGGGGACCAUUCCACGGUCUCCGUGUCGCAGCUAACGCAUUAAGUUCCCCGCCUGGGGAGUACGGCCGCAAGGCUAAAACUCAAAGGAAUUGACGGGGGCCCGCACAAGCGGCGGAGCAUGCGGAUUAAUUCGAUGCAACGCGAAGAACCUUACCAAGGCUUGACAUAUAGAGGAAACGGUUGGAAACAAUCGCCCCGCAAGGUCUCUAUACAGGUGGUGCAUGAUUGUCGUCAGCUCGUGUCGUGAGAUGUUUGGGUUAAGUCCCGCAACGAGGCGCAACCCUCGUCCUUAUGUUUGCCAGCCACGUAAUGGGUGGGAACUCAUGGGAUACUGCCGGGGUCAACUCGGAGGAAGGUGGGGAUGACGUCAAAUCAUCAUGCCCCUUAUGUCUUGGACUUCACGCAUGCUACAAUGGCCGGUACAAAGGGCUGCGAUACCGCAAGGUGGAGCGAAUCCCAAAAAGCCGGUCUCAGUUCGGAUUGAGGUCUGCAACUCGACCUCAUGAAGUCGGAGUCGCUAGUAAUCGCAGAUCAGCAACGCUGCGGUGAAUACGUUCCCGGGCCUUGUACA
This 1366-nucleotide ribosomal RNA is filed under the name uncultured bacterium. RNAcentral's name for it is "bacterial SSU rRNA". It matches the Rfam family "Bacterial small subunit ribosomal RNA", at positions 29 to 1387 of the family's 1533-position model. The record is from RNAcentral.